RNAcentral lists this ribosomal RNA (497 nucleotides) under uncultured bacterium. RNAcentral's name for it is "partial 16S ribosomal RNA". It matches the Rfam family "Bacterial small subunit ribosomal RNA", at positions 28 to 507 of the family's 1533-position model. The record is from RNAcentral.
GACGAACGCUGGCGGCGUGCCUAAUACAUGCAAGUUGAGCGCUGAAGGUUGGUACUUGUACCAACUGGAUGAGCAGCGAACGGGUGAGUAACGCGUGGGGAAUCUGCCUUUGAGCGGGGGACAACAUUUGGAAACGAAUGCUAAUACCGCAUAAAAACUUUAAACACAAGUUUUAAGUUUGAAAGAUGCAAUUGCAUCACUCAAAGAUGAUCCCGCGUUGUAUUAGCUAGUUGGUGAGGUAAAGGCGCACCAAGGCGAUGAUACAUAGCCGACCUGAGAGGGUGAUCGGCCACAUUGGGACUGAGACACGGCCCAAACUCCUACGGGAGGCAGCAGUAGGGAAUCUUCGGCAAUGGACGAAAGUCUGACUGAGCAACGCCGCGUGAGUGAAGAAGGUUUUCGGAUCGUAAAACUCUGUUGGUAGAGAAGAACGUUGGUGAGAGUGGAAAGCUCAUCAAGUGACGGUAACUACCCAGAAAGGGACGGCUAACUACGUG